This 493-nucleotide ribosomal RNA is filed under the name uncultured bacterium. RNAcentral's name for it is "partial 16S ribosomal RNA". It matches the Rfam family "Bacterial small subunit ribosomal RNA", at positions 29 to 523 of the family's 1533-position model. The record is from RNAcentral.
AUUGAACGCUGGCGGCAUGCUUUACACAUGCAAGUCGAACGGUAACAGGUUAAGCUGACGAGUGGCGAACGGGUGAGUAAUGCAUCGGAACGUGCCCGGUCGUGGGGGAUAACGCAGCGAAAGCUGCGCUAAUACCGCAUACGAUCUGAGGAUGAAAGCGGGGGACCGUAAGGCCUCGCGCGAUCGGAGCGGCCGAUGUCAGAUUAGGUAGUUGGUGGGGUAAAGGCUCACCAAGCCAACGAUCUGUAGCUGGGCUGAGAGGACGACCAGCCACACUGGGACUGGGACACGGCCCAGGCUCCUACGGGAGGCAGCAGUGGGGAAUUUUGGACAAUGGGCGAAAGCCUGAUCCAGCAAUGCCGCGUGCAGGAAGAAGGCCUUCGGGUUGUAAACUGCUUUUGUACGGAGCGAAAAGGUCUCCUCUAAUACAGGGGGCUCAUGACGGUACCGUAAGAAUAAGCACCGGCUAACUACGUGCCAGCCGCCGCGGUAA